RNAcentral lists this ribosomal RNA (460 nucleotides) under uncultured bacterium. RNAcentral describes it as "partial 16S ribosomal RNA". It matches the Rfam family "Bacterial small subunit ribosomal RNA", at positions 338 to 795 of the family's 1533-position model. The record is from RNAcentral.
CCUACGGGUGGCAGCAGUGAGGAAUAUUGGUCAAUGGACGCAAGUCUGAACCAGCCAUGCCGCGUGCAGGAAGACGGCUCUAUGAGUUGUAAACUGCUUUUGUACGAGGGUAAACGCAGAUACGCGUAUCUGUCUGAAAGUAUCGUACGACUAAGGAUCGGCUAACUCCGUGCCAGCAGCCGCGGUAAUACGGAGGAUUCAAGCGUUAUCCGGAUUUAUUGGGUUUAAAGGGUGCGUAGGCGGUCGGAUAAGUUAGAGGUGAAAUCCCGAGGCUCAACUGCGGAAUUGCCUCUGAUACUGUUCGUCUAGAGAGUAGUUGCGGUAGGCGGAAUGUGGGGUGUAGCGGUGAAAUGCUUAGAGAUCAUACAGAACACCGAUUGCGAAGGCAGCUUACCAAGCUACUUCUGACGUUGAGGCACGAAAGCGUGGGGAGCAAACAGGAUUAGAUACCCGAGUAGUC